Coturnix japonica (Japanese quail) is the source of this 1644-nucleotide long non-coding RNA. Lineage: Eukaryota; Metazoa; Chordata; Aves; Galliformes; Phasianidae. The record is from Ensembl.
GGAAGAGGAGGAGCAAGGAAGAAGAAAAGAAAAAGGGUCUGAUGCAACUCCCAUCUCUGUCCCACUGCUGUGUGUACUUAUAUGCUUCACUUACGCAUGAGAGUUGGGCUGUUGCUUUCAGUGGGACUACCCAGUCCAGGUGGACAAACAUAAGCCUUUGCAAGUUCAAAAUCUAUUAAAGAAGGCUUCCCAUUAGUGGAAGCUGGAGUCAGAUGUAGCUGUAGCAUUUAUUUCCCUGUGGUCACAAAGGCGUCUGAAUUGCCAGUUUUGUUCCCUGUUUCUGUUUUCAGACCAUUGGCUUAUACAACUCUCGUGAGCCUCUCGCAAGCCAUGAUAACAUUGGAGGUAUUUCUUUCUAAUUUAGUGAUGAAAGUUUUCCUUACCUACCACAUUUGAACUCACACAAUGAAAUGUUCCUGCACAAAAGCAAAUUCUUUUUAUAUGCCCUGAAAUUUCUUUUAAAUGGCUUAUAGAAAAGUUCGUCUCUGGGCUCCCUGACCAGCAUCAGCUGAGAUGAAGGAACUUGGAGGGAAGCAAGUUCGAAACGAAUAGAAUGAAAAUAGCUGAUACCCAAUCGCUCAGCGAUAUUUAACUGAGUCCCAGCAAGAAUUGGAUGCAAGAACAAGAAGUCAAUGAGUUCAGGUAGGAACUAUGAAAUAUUUCCACAAACAGUGGCUUUUUCAUGGCUCCUUUGAGGGAUGACUUUGAUGUGUAAGUGCAAAUUCCAGCUGAAACUUCCUCCUGUGUUGCAGUGUUUUGCAGGUUCUUUUCCUUCAUCACCCUCCUGGUGUCUGAUGAGAUGUGAAUUCCUGCCUUUCCAUGGUAGGAGGCUGUCUGGGGAUAAAUCAUCUCCUUCACGUGAAUUUUUAUUUAUGAAGAGAGAUACACUGGCAAUCUUGUUGAAAAAAAAAGAAUAAGAAAGGAAGGGAAAGAGAAAAGGAAGAAAAAGAGAAAAGAGGUCUUGCAUCCUUUAAGCUGGACAAAAAAAAAAAAAAAGAUGGACAAUUUCUGGAGGAAGUAGGUCUGCUUGUUACAAGUCUCCCAUUUUUUCCUUGCUUGGAAACAAUUUGAAAAGAAGGCGUUGGCUUUGCUUUCCUUUUGGAUUUUUAGGGGGUAAGUUCUUCCGAAAUGGUGUUUUUUUGAAUGCUGAUAUUCUCUUAUCAAAGUAUAGCCAAACUCUGGGCUAUAACCCAAGUGCAGGGACUGUGCAUCAUAUUGAAAUUCUAGAACCGUAACUUGGAUGGUUUCAUCAGCUAACAAAAGAAGUAGAUGAAUGUCUUUUCCACCAACACCAGGCAUAUGCCCACAGAAUCCUUUACUCUGGUGUUAGUGUCUUCAAAUAGUUGUAAUUGCCACAGAUUGCCACAAUCCCACAACAUUCAUUCUAUAUCUGCAUGGCAUUGAACAUUCAUCCGGAGGAGUAGCAAAUAUAUGUUUAGAAACCUACUGCAUGGAGCAUGAGGUUUUACAAGCUAUUAAAACAUAAAAUUAAGGAAAUACUAGAGAUCUUUAAGCACAGAUAGGCUGAACUUCGAGCUCAACUGGUAAGUUGAGGUUUGGUAAGUCAAAGCACAAAUAACUUUUAUAAAAUGCUGCAUCCUGUCCCUCAGGUGAAAGUCAGGUAUUAUAAAACCACCCACAACA